This 442-nucleotide RNase P RNA is filed under the name Vibrio splendidus. RNAcentral's name for it is "RNase P RNA component class A". It matches the Rfam family "Bacterial RNase P class A". Rfam says of the family: Ribonuclease P (RNase P) is a ubiquitous endoribonuclease, found in archaea, bacteria and eukarya as well as chloroplasts and mitochondria. Its best characterised activity is the generation of mature 5'-ends of tRNAs by cleaving the 5'-leader elements of precursor-tRNAs. Cellular RNase Ps are ribonucleoproteins. Lineage: Bacteria; Pseudomonadati; Pseudomonadota; Gammaproteobacteria; Vibrionales; Vibrionaceae. The record is from RNAcentral.
GGAGUUGAACGGGUAAUCGCUGCUUUGCUGAUGUCCUUCGGGAGACUGACGUUGAGGUCCUUCGGGAAACUGACGUUGAAGUCCUUCGGGAGACUGGUAGAGGGGAGGAACGUCCGGGCUCCAUAGAGCAGGGUGCCAGAUAACGUCUGGGGGGCGCGAAGCCCCACGACAAGUGCAGCAGAGAGAAGACCGCCGAUGGCCUCAUUUCUUCGGAAGAGGCACAGGUAAGGCUGAAAGGGUGCGGUAAGAGCGCACCGUGCGACUGGCAACAGUUCGUAGCAAGGUAAACUCCACCCGGAGCAAGAUCAAAUAGGCCCUCGCAUUGCGCUGCUCGCGUAUGGGGGCGGGUAGAUUGCUUGAGCCUGUGAGCGAUUGCAGGCCUAGACGAAUGGUUACCGCCGCGCAAGCGGAACAGAACCCGGCGUAUGUGUCAACUCCACCU